RNAcentral lists this ribosomal RNA (253 nucleotides) under uncultured bacterium. RNAcentral describes it as "partial 16S ribosomal RNA". It matches the Rfam family "Bacterial small subunit ribosomal RNA", at positions 524 to 776 of the family's 1533-position model. The record is from RNAcentral.
UACAGAGACUGCAAGCGUUAUUCGGAUUCACUGGGCGUAAAGCGUGCGCAGGCGGUUAUGCAAGACAGAUGUGAAAUCCCCGGGCUUAACCUGGGAACCGCAUUUGUGACUGCAUAGCUGGAGUACGGCAGAGGGGGAUGGAAUUCCGCGUGUAGCAGUGAAAUGCGUAGAUAUGCGGAGGAACACCGAUGGCGAAGGCAGUCCCCUGGGCCUGUACUGACGCUCAUGCACGAAAGCGUGGGGAGCAAACAGG